Molecule: ribosomal RNA, 620 nt
Filed under: uncultured bacterium
Lineage: Bacteria
Description: bacterial SSU rRNA
Rfam family: Bacterial small subunit ribosomal RNA
Source: RNAcentral
AAGAAAUGCAAAACUCUAAUACAGUUUUGAGAUGACGGUACCAUUAGAGAAAGCACCGGCUAAACUCGUGCCAGCAGCCGCGGUAAUACGAGUGGUGCAAGCGUUAUUCGGAUUGAUUGGGCGUAAAGGGUGCGCAGGCGGUGCACUAAGUCAACUGUCAAAGACCUCAGCCUAACUGGGGAACGGCGGUAGAUACUGGUGUGCUAGAGGGUGGAAGAGAGAAGUGGAAUUCUUGGAGUAGCGGUAAAAUGCGUAGAUCUCAAGAGGAACACCGAUGGCGAAGGCAGCUUCUUGGUCCACAUCUGACGCUCAUGCACGAAAGCGUGGGGAGCAAACAGGAUUAGAUACCCUGGUAGUCCACGCUGUAAACGAUGAUCACUAGACGUUAGUCUCGCUCUGCGAGAUUAGUGUCGCAGCUAACGCGAUAAGUGAUCCGCCUGGGGAUUACGGUCGCAAGAUUAAAACUCAAAGGAAUUGACGGGGGUCCGCACAAGCGGUGGAACAUGUGGUUUAAUUCGACACAACGCGCAGAACCUUACCCAGAUUUGACAUGCCACUGCAAGCCCGUGAAAACGGGUCGCCUUCNANGGUGUGGCACCGGUGCUGCAUGGCUGUCGUCA